RNAcentral lists this long non-coding RNA (1109 nucleotides) under Marmota monax (woodchuck). Lineage: Eukaryota; Metazoa; Chordata; Mammalia; Rodentia; Sciuridae. The record is from RNAcentral.
AUGAUGCUGUCCUGGUCCAGGACAGAAAACCUGGAAAUUCCCUGGAGAGUCACCAGUGAGAACCUGCUCUGAAGAGUGAAGAAGUUGGAGUCUCAUGUCCUCGUUGCAACACAGCAGCAAUGGAACCCACUCCAAAGAAGAAUGGGGAAUCCUCUCUUCUGCUGCCUCCUUGAUCUUUCACCUUUUUGUUCUGUCCAGGCCCCUAACAUAUAGGACUGUGCUAUCCACAUUUAGGGUGGGUCUUUCCCUCAGUUUUCUGUCCUACGUGUCAAUGAUUCCUAGAAGCACCCUCCUUGACACACCCAGAAGCCUCUUAAUCUUGAGCAUCUCUGAAUCCAAUCAAGUUGACAAUUCAGAUUAACCACAGUGAGUUUAUUGAAAAUUUUUCAUAUAACUUGUCUUUGUCUGAUAAUAUUAUCUCUCCCUUUCCCAGUUCACUUUCUUCAAUUAUUAGUUGUUAUUAGUUGUGGUUUCUGUUCCUGAGAAACAUAUCGAGUACUAAAGUGGUUCAAUUCCCAUUCAGGGUUGACCAGUUUGCACUUGCUCAGUAGUACUAAGUGGCAGAAAGUGUAUCAUUAGAGGGAGAGAUUCAAACCAGUCUUAGAAUGAUCCAGUUUUCUGAACCCAAAUUUGGAUACCUGAUAGACCAUGGUUCCUCGAUUCUUCAAGUACCUACACAGAUCUCCAACCUCAUGAAGCUCAGUCUAAUUUAAUCUGGAGGCCAGGCUGUCCAACAGUAAUACUAUAAUGCAGCAAGAGCUACAGAGGUGACCAGAAAAGAUAACCCUCUGCUCUUUAGGAGGAGAGAAUCAAGGCUGAGGAGAGUCUUAGCUCAGUCUUGGAAGAAAAUGUCUUUUCUUCUCAGGCAGUCCUUCUGGCUGCAGGAAGGGCAUUCCAGGUCCACAUAGGCACAAAAACAUGAAACUGUUGGAGUACGUAGUCUGCCACACAACUGGAAAAUUUGGUCUUCUCUGGGCAUAUGCACCUCAAAAUUUUUUAUUUGUAAACUUUGGAAUCUGAUCUAUCUUGAUGUUCUGUUGUCUCAUCCAAGUGCCUUGGUUCUACUAGUUGUAGGACUCCUGCAACAUAGCAGAUUGGUUUUCUUCAUG